AAGAUUCUAUAAAGAAGAGAAUGAUGUAAGUGACCCGGGGGCAAUGGGGGGAGCUUAAAUUUGAAACUAGAAAAAAUUUUGAACAAAAUAAUCAUAAUUGUUAGCUGAUGAAAAACUAGAAAAUAUUUUCUGAGUAAAUUCUUGAUUUCAGAAAUUAACUAUAAUUUAUAUUGCUCUUAAUAUCUUACCCUUGAAUAUAAAUGAUUAAUGCCCUUUAAAAUGUCCUUUUUUCUAGCUAACCUGAUGUACAUAUGACAUUAAUCCAAUAGACUUAGGAAUAAGAUACAGGGGGUUUUCCUGAAUGAUUCGAGUAUAUCCCCAUUCAUAUUAAGAAAACAAAGUAUUGGCCAAGCGUGGUGGCUCACGCCUGUAAUCCCGGCACUUUGGAAGGCCGAGGCCAGUGGAUCACCUGAGAUGGACUCAACGACUCUCUUACCGUCCAGCUCUCAAGUCCCUUCUCUUGUGAAAAUGGAAAAGUUGAACUACAGUUGAGAUAUUAUUCCCAGGUGUUCUUUGGAACACAGGGGAUUUCUCCAAAAGGCACAGAACAAAUUGCCUCCAAACAGCCAAGAUUCCAGCAGAAGCUGGAGUAGCAGACUACUUGGAUCUUCAAAGUACCUGGCCCUGAGUCAGUUAAGGAAGAUCUUUUCUUCUCUUUUGUACAAUCCUAUGAUGAGAGCUGCAAAGUGAACUGACUAAGAGCUUCUGCCUUGAUCAUUGACCUCCCAAUCCUAAUAAUAUGUUCACUGGCCAAACUUCCUAAUCGAUUUGUCUUUUGGAUAUAACGUUCCUCCUACUGUUUGCCUGAUUGAGAAAUCUGCUACAGAACAUGACCGGUUAGCAUUCCCACCAACCCCAGUGCUACACUGACUGUCUUUCGAUGGACUUUGCUCCUUGCUGCCUCUCUGAGGUCCCAGACCUUCAGAGUGACCUUCACAGCUCUGCCUAACUUUCUGUCAUACUUCUAUCAAGAGAGACAGCUAAAUCAAUAUUUUUAAUGUGCUUUGCUGUCGGAAUUCGAUGAUCUGUCACAGUUCUUGCCCAAUACACCCCAUCAUUAUUGUUAAAAUGUUUUUAGCUUUGUUUGUAGAAUUGCUUUAACUGGUUUCAUCUCUGGGAGCUACACUUUGAAAUAUAACUUUAGCAACAUUUUACUAUACUUUUUCACAACCCAGAGCAGUACUAUUUUAUGCUUAGUGGUUAAACUAAUUCCAUAAAUCUUUUGCAACUAUCCUCUAUUCUUUUUCUUGUAAUUUUUACCUGGGAAGGUUUUUACUGAUAAUCAUCCUAUCCUGAGUCAUCCCACAAACCAAUCUGUCUCACUAAUCAUUGCUUCUAACCUACAGACUAAGCAUAACUUCUGCUAAAUGAUCUUUGAUAAGAUGCUAUGACUCUAUAAAGUCUUUGAUAUUCAUGUCUAAAUUUAAUCACUUGUAGAUUUUCAUAGAAUCAAUCUUUCACUUCUACAAUUGGGAGUAUUUAUAAGUUGUUUAUCUUAAACAGUUCCUCUAUCACGCUUUUCACGUUAAAUAAAGCAAUCCCUUCAAAUC
RNAcentral lists this long non-coding RNA (1550 nucleotides) under Homo sapiens (human). RNAcentral describes it as "PREDICTED lncRNA (TCONS_00187851)". The record is from RNAcentral. Lineage: Eukaryota; Metazoa; Chordata; Mammalia; Primates; Hominidae.